RNAcentral lists this ribosomal RNA (661 nucleotides) under Salmonella enterica. Its description in RNAcentral is "partial 23S ribosomal RNA". It matches the Rfam family "Bacterial large subunit ribosomal RNA", at positions 2261 to 2916 of the family's 2925-position model. Lineage: Bacteria; Pseudomonadati; Pseudomonadota; Gammaproteobacteria; Enterobacterales; Enterobacteriaceae. The record is from RNAcentral. RNAcentral also lists the same sequence under 3 other names.
GUGGGUAGUUUGACUGGGGCGGUCUCCUCCUAAAGAGUAACGGAGGAGCACGAAGGUUGGCUAAUCCUGGUCGGACAUCAGGAGGUUAGUGCAAUGGCAUAAGCCAGCUUGACUGCGAGCGUGACGGCGCGAGCAGGUGCGAAAGCAGGUCAUAGUGAUCCGGUGGUUCUGAAUGGAAGGGCCAUCGCUCAACGGAUAAAAGGUACUCCGGGGAUAACAGGCUGAUACCGCCCAAGAGUUCAUAUCGACGGCGGUGUUUGGCACCUCGAUGUCGGCUCAUCACAUCCUGGGGCUGAAGUAGGUCCCAAGGGUAUGGCUGUUCGCCAUUUAAAGUGGUACGCGAGCUGGGUUUAGAACGUCGUGAGACAGUUCGGUCCCUAUCUGCCGUGGGCGCUGGAGAACUGAGGGGGGCUGCUCCUAGUACGAGAGGACCGGAGUGGACGCAUCACUGGUGUUCGGGUUGUCAUGCCAAUGGCACUGCCCGGUAGCUAAAUGCGGAAGAGAUAAGUGCUGAAAGCAUCUAAGCACGAAACUUGCCCCGAGAUGAGUUCUCCCUGAGACUUUAAGUCUCCUGAAGGAACGUUGAAGACGACGACGUUGAUAGGCCGGGUGUGUAAGCGCAGCGAUGCGUUGAGCUAACCGGUACUAAUGAACCGUGAGG